UCCUGGCUACAAUCUUGACUACAGUCGAUCAGCAAAUGUCACUGUAGUUUUUGUUUACAGUAGAUUACAAUGCAAUUGCAAAUAUUUACCACAAUUGCAGCUCUAUUUAUUUCAUUUAUAUGCAUCCUUCUGCUCAUCAUCAACACUGAAGACAUCAAAGGAACAGUACAGCUCUUGUAUGGGAUAGUCCUGGAUGCUGGAUCCUCUCACACUUCUAUGUUCAUCUACAACUGGCCAGCAGACAAGCAGAACUGUACCGGCAUAGUCAGUCAACACAGCGGGUUUCAUGCCAAAGGAGUUGGGAUCUCCAGUUAUGCAGGUAGCAGAGGAGGAUCAGCCCGUAUAGUCUUGAGGAAUGUAUGGAACAAGCCAUGCAGGAGAUCCCAAAGUCAAGAAAACAAACCCACCCCAUCUUAUCUC
Molecule: long non-coding RNA, 420 nt
Organism: Cyprinus carpio (common carp)
Lineage: Eukaryota; Metazoa; Chordata; Actinopteri; Cypriniformes; Cyprinidae
Source: RefSeq, a predicted model, not a curated record